AAGGGCACCACAAGAACGCGUGGAGCAUGUGGCUUAAUUUGACUCAACGCGGGAAAUCUUACCGGGUCCGGACACACUGAGGAUUGACAGGUAUUAUUAAAAUAUAUAUUAAUUUCGGUUAUUAUAUAUUUUAUGUUAAAUAUGCUAGUCCUUUCAUGAUUAUGUGAUAGGUGGUGCAUGGCCGUUCUUAGUUCGUGGAGUGAUCUGUCUGCUUAAUUGCGUUUCACUAAGGGCUUAUAAGUUUACGUGUGUUGUGAGUACUUUGACCCCUAUAUUGAAAUAUAUAUAGUGCGCGUCUUAGUUUGCUUCACUCACACAAUUAAGUCCUGAAAGCAACGAACGUGACCGCAACCUCUUGUUGCUUCUAAUUUUAACGCGUAUUUUAAUAUUUAUAUUAUUUUACGUAUAAAGAAGCUUUGAAACUAGAGGGACCGCUGUAAUCUUUUUAAACCAGAGGAAGGUUGCGGCAAUAACAGGUCUGUGAUGCCCUUAGAUGUUCCGGGCUGCACACGUGCUACAAUGAUUAUUGCAGUGAGCAUCUCAUUUAUUAUACAUCGCUUGUACGAGUCCAUUUACUGUGUAUGCCUUCGGGUAUAUUUCAGUUAAAUGUGUUUACUUUGUACGCGAUAAAGCCUGCUUCGAAAGUAAGUGGGUAAUCAAUUAGAAGUAAUGAUUUCCCAAUUUAUAGCACACAUAUAUACAGCAUUUUUACCCGAUCUAAGCUUGUCUUAGAUUCUGUGUGUAUUAAUGAAUUAUUGCCUUUUUGUGCAUUAAUUUUUACUGUAUGUGCAAUUGUCAAUUCAUAGUGGGGAUCAACCAUUGAUAAUUGUUGGUUGUGGUCUUAACUAGGAAUGCCUUGUACGGGUCUUUGGUUCAACAAACCACCCGGAAUACGUCCCUGCCCUUUGUACACACCGCCCGUCGCUCUUACCGAUGGACUUCUCUGUGAGUUUGAGGGACUGGGUAUUUUUAAACCUAUGGAAACUUAAACGAACAGUGUGGUCUAAAGGAAAGAGAAGUCG
RNAcentral lists this ribosomal RNA (1022 nucleotides) under Foraminifera sp. Its description in RNAcentral is "SSU rRNA". It matches the Rfam family "Eukaryotic small subunit ribosomal RNA", at positions 1160 to 1791 of the family's 1831-position model. Lineage: Eukaryota; Foraminifera. The record is from RNAcentral.